This 812-nucleotide ribosomal RNA is filed under the name uncultured Microlunatus sp. Its description in RNAcentral is "bacterial SSU rRNA". It matches the Rfam family "Bacterial small subunit ribosomal RNA", at positions 71 to 895 of the family's 1533-position model. Lineage: Bacteria; Bacillati; Actinomycetota; Actinomycetes; Propionibacteriales; Propionibacteriaceae. The record is from RNAcentral.
AAGGCCCCUUCGGGGGUACACGAGUGGCGAACGGGUGAGUAACACGUGAGCAACCUGCCCUUGACUCUGGGAUAACAGUUGGAAACAGCUGCUAAUACCGGAUACGACCCUCGAUGACAUCAUCUGGGGUGGAAAGCGCUUAGCGGUCAAGGAUGGGCUCGCGGCCUAUCAGCUUGUUGGUGAGGUAACGGCUCACCAAGGCUUCGACGGGUAGCCGGCCUGAGAGGGCGACCGGCCACACUGGGACUGAGAUACGGCCCAGACUCCUACGGGAGGCAGCAGUGGGGAAUAUUGCACAAUGGGCGCAAGCCUGAUGCAGCAACGCCGCGUGCGGGAUGACGGCCUUCGGGUUGUAAACCGCUUUCAGUUCCGACGAAGCGCAAGUGACGGUAGGAACAGAAGAAGGACCGGCCAACUACGUGCCAGCAGCCGCGGUGAUACGUAGGAUCCGAGCGUUGUCCGGAAUUAUUGGGCGUAAAGGGCUUGUAGGCGGUUUGUUGCGUCGGAAGUGAAAACUCAGGGCUUAACCCUGAGCCUGCUUCCGAUACGGGCAAACUAGAGGGAUGCAGGGGAGAAUGGAAUUCCUGGUGGAGCGGUGGAAUGCGCAGAUAUCAGGAGGAACACCGGUGGCGAAGGCGGUUCUCUGGGCAUUUCCUGACGCUGAGAAGCGAAAGCGUGGGGAGCAAACAGGCUUAGAUACCCUGGUAGUCCACGCCGUAAACGGUGGGCACUAGGUGUGGGGAACAUUCCACGUUCUCCGUGCCGAAGCUAACGCAUUAAGUGCCCCGCCUGGGGAGUACGGCCGCAAGGCU